UGCUCUGGUGUGUGCAUAUACUAACAAAGCAGUUGUUUAGACUUACUCAAUUGGCUACUUCUGGAUAUUUUUGUAGACCAGAACUUAAGAAAUGUGAUCUGGGAAAUUAUAAUUACUUCAUGGCACCACUUUAGAAAAGAGAAAGUCUAGGAUCCCAAAUGCUUCCAUUUAGUUUCUGCUGAAACUACAAUGACCUCUAAAUUUUUUAAGUGCAGGAUAAGAUGGCAUCUGUUGUAUAAGAAAGAAAGAAAUAAACCUAAAACUGAGACUUGGAUGAUCAUUUUCUCUGUAGAGGGGGAAAAAUCUCUGUUCAUAAUAUAUAGAGUUGCAGUCUCUGCACCUGCAACAAACACUGAAGGAAAAUUGCUCUGUUGAGAAGGAGAUUCUUAGUUAUUUACCAUCUUUACUCCUCUAAGAGAAUAUGUAAAAUCCACAUUUCUCAAUACUAGGCAUUACAUUUAUUCUGUUAAUAGCAGAUUUAAUAAAAAGAGUUGAGACAUGUUAAGUAAUUUUAAAAAAAUCAGUUAUACAACAUAAGAGAUUAAACAUCCAGUUUUUGCUUUAUGAGGAAAAAGCUUCUCUACUUGGAGUGUGAUAGAGCACUGGAGAAAUCUGCCCAAGGAGGUAGUGCAGUCUCUGUGGAGGUAAUCCAAACCCUCCUGGAUUGUUCUUGUGUCUCUUGCUCAGGUGUUCCUGCCUUGGCAGAGCACUGGAUCUCCGUGAGGUCCAGAGGCCCCUUCCAUCCCCAGCCAUUCCUUAGUUCUCUAAUACUAAUUUCAGUUGAGCAGAAAGCUUAGUCAGUUGGAAAAAAGAGUUUCAAGUUGCUUUUGAAAAUUAAAUGACAAGUUAUCUUAUCACUUAAAUGUAUUUGAAAAUUUUAACCAUGAUAGCUUUUUAAUUUCAAGGAUUCUUCAGGUCCCACCAACUUUAAAUGCAUUGCCAUAACUUUUUUUUCCCCACCAUUCCAACAUAAAUAAUUUUAACUUCACCAAAAGAAAUUCUUCAGUUAGGAAAUAUCAGUUUCUUGAAGUAUUGGCUUGAAUAAGACUGUAAGCUAACUAAAAUUCAUUGAGUUAAUUUUUUAUUGACAACUUGGGUUAUAAGUGUUGAUGUUGUUUCCAGUUCUGGUAAAUAAAAAUAUCUGUCCAAAAUGACUGAUUAUGAACUAAGGUGAGUAAAAUGAUUGUGCAUAACAUCUGCUUUCCCUCUUUUCUUAUCUUCAUAAACUUUGUUAACCAAACUGACUUCUUUUUAUAGGUUAUUUCAUGCAAAGGAGAUAUAUAGUAGGCAGUCAGUCUGUGUUGCUGUGGUUUGCUUUUCUAUUUAGGUUUCUAGGUGUCAUUUGCCUUCAUUAGAUAAAACAUUUGUAUUUUCAAUGCAAUAGUUGAAAACUUUUCAAAAACUUUUUUUUUUUUUGCUAAUGGCUUUCUUGUUAUUUUAUGUUUAUGUUUAAUUUUGCCUAGAUUUUUCUCAGGAUUAAAGAUGAAAAGUAAUGGCUUUGCAAGAUCUAUAUUCAGUUGAGUGGAAAAUUAAAUUUGGGUUGAUUUUUUCUUUCUUUUCUUUGUUUUUUUUUUGUUUGUUUGGUUGGGGGUUUUUUUGUGUGUUUGUUUUUUGGGUUUUUUUGGUUUUUUGGAAGGAGCAGACUUGUGUUUGGAAAGCAUCCUUUCAGUUUUUUGCUCUGAUUGUUUGAACAUGAUUCACAAAAACUCUCAGUGAAAAAUACAUCCUUUCAUUCUUGUGCCAUGCUCAGAUCAGGUGCAGUAGCAACUGUGCCCCUGUUAAAUGUGACCAGAUAAGCUCAGUACAUGUCAUCCAAUUGGCUGUGGUAAACAAAAGCAGGAGGUGGACAUGAAUAUCCAUUUUAUCAGGUUUAUAUGUAGGUUUUAUUCUCGUUACCACAGUUAGGUCAAUAAAUGCAUCACAGUUUACAAUGCUUUCAGGGCACCAAAAUUGUCAUCACACUUAGUUUUUCUCUGGUACAGUUCUUACUUGAGUGAUCUUGCCUACCUCUAGUCAGGUAAGUACAAUUGUGCUGGUAAUCAGGGAUUGUUGCUGUUUGGCAUCGUUAGACACUUGUCAGUUGUUUUAACUUGGCAAGCGUAUGCUGAAACAUUUGCUGAUAAAAUGUGUUAAAAUUCUGCAAUUAAAAAGAGAAAAAAAAAA
Molecule: long non-coding RNA, 2163 nt
Organism: Passer montanus (Eurasian tree sparrow)
Lineage: Eukaryota; Metazoa; Chordata; Aves; Passeriformes; Passeridae
Exons: 2
Source: RefSeq, a predicted model, not a curated record